This 460-nucleotide ribosomal RNA is filed under the name uncultured bacterium. Its description in RNAcentral is "partial 16S ribosomal RNA". It matches the Rfam family "Bacterial small subunit ribosomal RNA", at positions 338 to 795 of the family's 1533-position model. The record is from RNAcentral.
CCUACGGGAGGCAGCAGUGAGGAAUAUUGGUCAAUGGACGAGAGUCUGAACCAGCCAAGUAGCGUGAAGGAUGACUGCCCUAUGGGUUGUAAACUUCUUUUAUAUGGGAAUAAAAUGUUCCACGUGUGGGAUUUUGUAUGUACCAUAUGAAUAAGGAUCGGCUAACUCCGUUCCAGCAGCCGCGGUAAUACGGAGGAUCCGGGCGUUAUCCGGAUUUAUUGGGUUUAAAGGGGGCGUAGGUGGAUUGUUAAGUCAGUUGUGAAAGUUUGCGGCUCAACCGUAAAAUUGCAGUUGAAACUGGCAGUCUUGAGUACAGUAGAGGUGGGCGGAAUGCGUGGUGUAGCGGUGAAAUGCUUAGAUAUCACGAAGAACUCCGAUUGCGAAGGCAGUUCACUGGACUGCAACUGACACUGAGGCUCGAAAGUGUGGGUAUCAAACAGGAUUAGAUACCCCGGUAGUC